GUGAAUCAUCAAAUCUUUGAACGCAAAUUGCACUCUCUGGUAUUCCGGAGAGUAUGCCUGUUUGAGGGGCAGGUUAAAUAAAAAUCGGUGUGGUUGCUGCCUUUCGUGGUGAUGCACCGGAUGUGGGUCGUCUUGCCUUCGGUUAAAUGACAUAUAAUUUUGCAUGAUUUUUUCGUACGUAUGUAAAUAAGUUUACUGUCGUUUGUGUUAUGUAAUGCUAGUUUUGUUAGUC
RNAcentral lists this unclassified non-coding RNA (232 nucleotides) under Glomeraceae sp. RNAcentral's name for it is "partial contains 5.8S ribosomal RNA and internal transcribed spacer 2". The stretch from base 1 to 71 matches the Rfam family "5.8S ribosomal RNA", at positions 84 to 154 of the family's 154-position model. The record is from RNAcentral. Lineage: Eukaryota; Fungi; Glomeromycota; Glomeromycetes; Glomerales; Glomeraceae.